This 297-nucleotide ribosomal RNA is filed under the name uncultured bacterium. RNAcentral describes it as "partial 16S ribosomal RNA". It matches the Rfam family "Bacterial small subunit ribosomal RNA", at positions 29 to 305 of the family's 1533-position model. The record is from RNAcentral.
AGCGAACGCUGGCGGCGUGCUUAACACAUGCAAGUCGAGCGAGAAAGGGGGCCUCGGGCCCCUGAGUACAGCGGCGAACGGGUGAGUAAUACAUGAGCAAUCUAUCCGUUGAGGCGGGAAUAACCCAGCGAAAGUUGGGCUAAUACCGGAUGAGACCACAGGAGGAAACUCCAAGGGGUCAAAGGCAGCUUUCUUUUGGGAGCGGCCCUUCGAAGAGGAGCUCAUGUCCUAUCAGCUAGUUGGUAGGGUAACGGCCUACCAAGGCGAAGACCGGGUAGCUGGUCUUAGAGGAUGAUC